GAUGAAGAACGUAGCGAAAUGCGAUACGUAAUGUGAAUUGCAGAAUUCAGUGAAUCAUCGAGUCUUUGAACGCACAUUGCGCCCCCUGGUAUUCCGGGGGGCAUGCCUGUCCGAGCGUCAUUGCUGCCCUCAAGCACGGCUUGUGUGUUGGGCCCCCGCCCCCCGGUUCCCGGGGGGCGGGCCCGAAAGGCAGCGGCGGCACCGCGUCCGGUCCUCGAGCGUAUGGGGCUUCGUCACCCGCUCCGUAGGCCCGGCCGGCGCCCGCCGGCGACACCCCCUCAAUCUUUCCAGGUUGACCUCGGAUCAGGUAGGGAUACCCGCUGAACUUAAGCAUAUCAAUAAGCGGAGGA
RNAcentral lists this unclassified non-coding RNA (350 nucleotides) under soil metagenome. RNAcentral's name for it is "partial contains 5.8S ribosomal RNA, internal transcribed spacer 2, and large subunit ribosomal RNA". The stretch from base 1 to 120 matches the Rfam family "5.8S ribosomal RNA", at positions 35 to 154 of the family's 154-position model. The record is from RNAcentral.